Long non-coding RNA from Salvelinus namaycush (lake trout), 640 nucleotides. RefSeq lists it as uncharacterized. The transcript has 3 exons. NCBI's taxonomy places the organism in Eukaryota, Metazoa, Chordata, Actinopteri, Salmoniformes, Salmonidae. The record is from RefSeq and is a predicted model, not a curated record.
CAUCAGGCAAUGCUUCUUGUGAAUAGCAAACUCAAAUUUUGUGAGUCUUUUUUAUAGGGCAGGGCAGCUCUCACCGACAUCUCUAAUCUUGUCUCAUCGAUUGGACUCCAGGGUCGGCGUAUACCCUUGAAGAAGUCUGGCAUCCACAUGGGCAGAACCACCGCUUCUCUCAACAGCUUCUUAGCAUCCUCCAGUAGUCCGUUAGACGGUGCUGUUACCAUGGCCGCGGAGAGACGCCGUGUGGAGAAUGACGAUCAUAUGGGGGAAGAGGAGGAAGAGGCGGGGCCGCUGGAGUUCGUGGAUGACAUCAGUCAACAUCAAGAACAGAACAGACUGUCAAAAUAUAAUGACAUGGGUAUGCUUACAGAAUUUUCACUAAAUUGUCUGGAUUAAAUGGUUUAAUCGAAGCUGGAGGGUAAACAAUGCAUUCUUUAUACAUCUUUGUUCUAGACUAGAGAGAGAGCAAGACAAAAAUAAUGGUGUUCCAAAAAAGGUCCAGUUGCCAGAACCACAAAUACAAAAUUCCAUCUAGACACCGUUUCCCUAGAGCUUGGUGAGGUCUGGGUUCCACUCACCAACCAAUAAUUCACAAAAUGGGACAAACACCAGAAUUCUGCAAAAAUAUCCUCUGUGUACAGUG